GUGAGGCCCCAGCCCCUGCCUUCUGUGAGGCCCCAGCUCUUUCCAUGUGACACUACAAAUGGAGAAGAUUCAAAUGAAAGAAUGGAUGUGGGGAGACAAAUAUAUGGACAAAAAAAAGAAAAAAGAAAAAUAUUGUAGUUGUUGAUUGUAUUCCUUCUGAGUUGAGAAUGCUGUAAACACUGUAAAUGUGCCACGUGUGAGGACAGUGGAGGGGAGGAUGCUGAGGCUCCCCAGAGAUCUGUGUGGGGUCUGACUCCUUCUCAAAGCUGUCAGAAGAGGAGAAGAGUUGUGUGUGUGUGUGAGUGUGAGUGUGUGUGUGUGUGUGUGUUUGUGGGUGUGUGCAGUGAGGGGCAUAGAGUACAGUGGCACAAAGGACACAAGAGCACAGGAGGUGUGUGUGUGUGUGUGUGUGUGUGUGUGUGUGUGUGUGUGUGUGUGUGUGUGUGUGUGUGUGUGUGUGUGUGUGUGUGUGUGUGUGUUGUGUGUGUGUGUAUUGGGAGGUAGGGGGUUGAGAAAGUCAGGGGAUUUUAGCUUCUAUUCUAUCAAUUGCAUCUAACCCUACAAUGGAUCUUACACACAGAUCCAUAGGUGUGUGUGGAUCUUACACACACAGAUCCAGAGGGGUGUGUGCUGAUGUGUGAAGGCAGACAUUCCUCAAUGUAAAUACCAUUAAUCAGACAACUGUGUUUUUCACAGCCCUUCAGUAUAAUUCCUGUAAUGCAUCGCUGCGGUUUGUAAGAAGGCUCAAUGGCUCCCGGUUAAUCCAUCACCUUCUUGUGCAAAGUACUUCACAAUUGACCUGAUAUUCUGAAUUUGCUUUAUUUAGAUUGAAAAAAAAUGACUUCUCCUUCUGAAGCUGUACAUUUUCUGAGUUCUGUCUCGUUCUGCUGUGGUAGAUGCUAAGAUGGGCGUGGCCCCUGGAGUGAAUUGGGCCGGAGCAGAUCUGUGCAGACCUGCCAUCUGAGGUGUGUUCAAAUUCGGCAAACAGAGGCCACAUGUUUUCUUUUAACUUUAAAAUUAGAAAGUUCCAAAUUGUUCGAUGUAAACGGUAACCCUGUCGAUGUUUGUUCGCCGAGAACUACCUGCUCAGACCGUUUGUGUGUCUGUCGCAAAUGUUCUCAGUGCACUCAAAGCAAACGAAAAAUAUUUUGAAGACGUUUGCCUUUGUUUGUUAUUUUGAACACACCUCUGGGUCACUUGACUCUCUCACAUGAAACAAUAUGACGGUGAAUCAUGAGAAAGACACCGAGAAAAAGAGGAAGACAAUGAGACUGAGAAAAAGAGGAAGACAAUGAGACUGAGAAAAACAGGGCAAUGAGAGGGGAAAAGAGAGAGAGAGAAAGCGAGUGAGUAAUGAGGAGACAAUGAAAAGAUAUAUUCCUACAUAAUAUUGAGCAUUAACAUGAUACAAUGUGAACUGAUCCAACCCUUGUCGAGCCGACAGAUGUUGGUGACUAAUGAUGUGUGCAGUUAGACAGAGAAGACUGCUGCAGUGGCGUUCCUGCAGUGGCCGUUUCUCGUGUUGUUAUGGCGUUCGUUUAUGUAUUUAUUUUGACACACCACAGGACAAACUUAACAUUGGGCUCCUUAUUUAUCAGAAGCAUCCAGGACACGUUGCAGCAGACAUGUUCAACACGUUAUAACCAACCCAAUAUCAGUCAGUGGUUCAACAUUGUCCUUUAUCACAGAGAAACUGUUUUAAAAGAUGAAAUGCUUGCGUUAAUAGGGCCAACAGCAGAAAUCCAGGACAGAAACAUCAUAGAGUCUAACAGAAGAUGUCUAGAUUAUUAGAAUGAACAUGCUGUAGAAUACGAAUACUAGUGUUGCUUCUGAAUUCUGUUGUUGAAUUCUGAAUACUGCUAUUCAUAAUUAUCUGUUCUUUUUUUUCCCAGCCAAUUGUAAGUGUAUGCUAAUUCAAAAGAACAAACCUCUUUCAGAAAUCCAAUUUGCAACUGGUAUCAGUUUUCAAGUGAUUCCUUGCCCUGAUUGUAGUAGGCUGGUAGAGUAGGCUUUGGCUGUGUUUGUUCUGCAGCAGCUAAUGAGGAAACCUUUCCAGAGCCAUAAAGGCCCUCUGAUGAAGGGUCGUUGUGUUGGGGAGAAUGGAGCUCUGCAAAACAGCACACUGCAUCCAUGCAACAUCUCUGUUUCCUAACGUGUAGAAAUAAAGGCUUUGUCAUACCACACAGCACAAUGUGUUCUUGCAUUUUCAAUUUGCUUAUUCUAGAGAUCCAUUCGGAGUAUGAUCAGUAAUAUCUGCCGACAUGUAUGAUCCUAAGAAUGGAGAAACUCUCUCUCUCACAC
This is a long non-coding RNA of Clupea harengus (Atlantic herring), 2301 nucleotides long. Lineage: Eukaryota; Metazoa; Chordata; Actinopteri; Clupeiformes; Clupeidae. The record is from Ensembl.